GUGGGGUAAUGGCCUACCAAGGCGACGACGGGUAGCCGGCCUGAGAGGGCGACCGGCCACACUGGGACUGAGACACGGCCCAGACUCCUACGGGAGGCAGCAGUGGGGAAUAUUGCACAAUGGGCGAAAGCCUGAUGCAGCGACGCCGCGUGAGGGAUGACGGCCUUCGGGUUGUAAACCUCUUUCAGCAGGGACGAAGCGCAAGUGACUGUACCUGCAGAAGAAGCACCGGCUAACUACGUGCCAGCAGCCGCGGUAAUACGUAGGGUGCGAGCGUUGUCCGGAAUUACUGGGCGUAAAGAGUUCGUAGGCGGUUUGUCGCGUCGUGUGUGAAAUCCCGCAGCUCAACUGCGGGCUUGCAGGCGAUACGGGCAGACUUGAGUACUGCAGGGGAGACUGGAAUUCCUGGUGUAGCGGUGAAAUGCGCAGAUAUCAGGAGGAACACCGGUGGCGAAGGCGGGUCUCUGGGCAGUAACUGACGCUGAGGAACGAAAGCGUGGGUAGCGAACAGGAUUAGAUACCCUGGUAGUCCACGCCGUAAACGGUGGGCGCUAGGUGUGGGUUUCCUUCCACGGGAUCCGUGCCGUAGCUAACGCAUAAGC
This 602-nucleotide ribosomal RNA is filed under the name Rhodococcus coprophilus. RNAcentral describes it as "bacterial SSU rRNA". It matches the Rfam family "Bacterial small subunit ribosomal RNA", at positions 252 to 865 of the family's 1533-position model. The record is from RNAcentral. Lineage: Bacteria; Bacillati; Actinomycetota; Actinomycetes; Mycobacteriales; Nocardiaceae.